GACACAGGUGCUGCAUGGCUGCGUCAGCUCGUGUCGUGAGAUGUUGGGUUAAGUCCCGUAACGAGCGCAACCCUUGUCCUUAGUUACCAGCACGUUAUGGUGGGCACUCUAAGGAGACUGCCGGUGACAAACCGGAGGAAGGUGGGGAUGACGUCAAGUCAUCAUGGCCCUUACGGCCUGGGCUACACACGUGCUACAAUGGUCGGUACAAAGGGUUGCCAAGCCGCGAGGUGGAGCUAAUCCCAUAAACCGAUCGUAGUCCGGAUCGCAGUCUGCAACUCGACUGCGUGAAGUCGGAAUCGCUAGUAAUCGUGAAUCAGAAUGUCACGGUGAAUACGUUCCCGGGCCUU
Molecule: ribosomal RNA, 350 nt
Filed under: uncultured Pseudomonas sp.
Lineage: Bacteria; Pseudomonadati; Pseudomonadota; Gammaproteobacteria; Pseudomonadales; Pseudomonadaceae
Description: bacterial SSU rRNA
Rfam family: Bacterial small subunit ribosomal RNA
Source: RNAcentral